Molecule: ribosomal RNA, 484 nt
Filed under: uncultured bacterium
Lineage: Bacteria
Description: partial 16S ribosomal RNA
Rfam family: Bacterial small subunit ribosomal RNA
Source: RNAcentral
AUUGAACGCUGGCGGCAGGCCUAACACAUGCCAGUCGAGCGGAUGAAGGGAGCUUGCUCCUGGAUUCAGCGGCGGACGGAUGAGUAAUGCCUAGGAAUCUGCCUGGUAGUGGGGGAUAACGUCCGGAAACGGGCGCUAAUACCGCAUACGUCCUGAGGGAGAAAGUGGGGGAUCUUCGGACCUCACGCUAUCAGAUGAGCCUAGGUCGGAUUAGCUAGUUGGUGGGGUAAAGGCCUACCAAGGCGACGAUCCGUAACUGGUCUGAGAGGAUGAUCAGUCACACUGGAACUGAGACACGGUCCAGACUCCUACGGGAGGCAGCAGUGGGGAAUAUUGGACAAUGGGCGAAAGCCUGAUCCAGCCAUGCCGCGUGUGUGAAGAAGGUCUUCGGAUUGUAAAGCACUUUAAGUUGGGAGGAAGGGCAGUAAGUUAAUACCUUGCUGUUUUGACGUUACCAACAGAAUAAGCACCGGCUAACUUCGUG